GGGGCUGUAGCUCAGCUGGGAGAGCACCUGCUUUGCAAGCAGGGGGUUGUCGGUUCGAAUCCGAUCAGCUCCA
Molecule: transfer RNA, 73 nt
Filed under: uncultured Alphaproteobacteria bacterium
Lineage: Bacteria; Pseudomonadati; Pseudomonadota; Alphaproteobacteria
Description: tRNA-Ala
Rfam family: tRNA
About the family: Transfer RNA (tRNA) molecules are approximately 80 nucleotides in length.
Source: RNAcentral